CCUACGGGUGGCAGCAGUGAGGAAUAUUGGUCCAUGGGCGAGAGCCUGAACCAGCCAAGUCUCGUGAAGGAUGACGGCCCUACGGGUUGUAACCUUCUUUUGUCAAGGAUCAAUUGAGUCCACGUGUGGGCUUAGCGAGAGUACCUGAAGAAAAAGCAUCGGCUAACUCCGUGCCAGCAGCCGCGGUAAUACGGAGGAUGCUAGCGUUAUCCGGAUUUAUUGGGUUUAAAGGGUGCGUAGGAGGAAUAUCAAGUCAGCGGUAAAAAUUCGGGGCUCAACCCCGUCGUGCCGUUGAAACUGAUGUUCUGUAGUGGGCGAGAAGUAUGCGGAAUGCGUGGUGUAGCGGUGAAAUGCAUAGAUAUCACGCAGAACUCCGAUUGCGAAGGCAGCAUACCGGCGCCCAACUGACGCUGAAGCACGAAAGCGUGGGUAUCGAACAGGAUUAGAUACCCUGGUAGUC
Molecule: ribosomal RNA, 460 nt
Filed under: uncultured bacterium
Lineage: Bacteria
Description: partial 16S ribosomal RNA
Rfam family: Bacterial small subunit ribosomal RNA
Source: RNAcentral